Molecule: unclassified non-coding RNA, 2517 nt
Filed under: Daphnia pulex (common water flea)
Lineage: Eukaryota; Metazoa; Arthropoda; Branchiopoda; Diplostraca; Daphniidae
Description: homeobox protein HMX3-like, transcript variant X1
Source: RNAcentral
CACUUGAUUUUGCAUUCUCAAAGGGAGGUAUCAUUCUUUCGUGUGUGCGUUUUUUAACAAAUUUAAUCUUGUUCAUUUGUUCCUGUAAAAUGAAUGCACUGAACUGUAUUAAGGCAAAAGAUGUGCCAAAAACUAUCACGGUACCAAGAACCGACACUGACAACCCGAUUUUAAGUCAUUGGUGCAAUUCCACGUGUGAGGCUGUUAAACUUUAUUUCGAGUGGACGAUUCAACAUUUUAAACGAGUGAAAUAUGAAGAAAUUGUAUCAGAUAGUUUUGCAGCAAAAGAAACCCCCUAUCUACAGUGGAAUCUGCAUUUCUUGUCCCAUCGACAUUUCAAACUCGUGUUGAAGAAUGAGGAAUCUAAUCUUCAAAACGUUGCUCAUCCAGUUACAUUCGAAUAUAAUUUGUUUAUUAUAAACACAAAAGGUGAUCGAGUUAUCUGGAGUAAAGGACUUCAUUCGUUUCCCAACAGUGGUAACUUAUAUAUUGAAACGGGCAUGCACAUGAAAGACUAUGACGGUUAUCUGACUGAUGAAGCUCAUUUUACCAUGCACUGUCAAAUCUUAACUUGGAUUAAUCGAAAAACCACAACAGGAGAAUUUUCACGUGAAUUGCCUGUACUUCCUAAUAAUGACGAACUGAUCAACGAUUUGAGUGGACUAUUCGGAAAUGAAAAGCAUAGCGAUGUUGUUUUCGGUAUUCGUGGCCAACAAUUCAAGGCCCACAAGAACAUCUUAUCUGCUAGAAGUUCAGUCUUUUCGGAAAUGUUUCAACAUGAAGGAUUGGAGGCGUCGCAUCAGGUCAAUAUCCAAGACAUUGAUCCCGAAGUGUUCCAGGAAGUGCUUCGUUUCAUUUACACCGGCCAUGUGCCAUUAACCAAAAUGGAUGCUUUGGGGCUAAGACUUUUGGCUGCUGGCGAAAAAUACCUUCUCAAAAACCUCAAAAACGCUUGCGAAAAACACUUGGUGAAUUCGUUAUCAGCAGAAAACUGUGUGGAAUUUCUCAUGGUAGCCAAAAGCCAUUCUGCAGAUUAUUUGAAGAAGAAUGCCUUGGAUUUUCUUCGUCGUUUCUCUCGUGAAGUGAAGGCGACCAACGCAUGGAAUAAAGCUCACCCCAUUUUCUUGCGUAAUAUCCAUGAGAUAGAUUUGGCUACUCCACCAGCUUGCAAGAAAAGAAAAUAAAUCUAAAAUCUCCCUCGCAAAACGUUAUCCAAAUCCAGAAAAUAUUUUGUAUUGUUUUUCACUUAAAUUGCAUCAUCAAAAUACCUAUCAAAAAGGUUUCUCGCAAUCUGGACGAUUCCAGACAUGUCCUCCAUCUUGUUUUUCGCUGUAAGCCCUCCCCCCUUCUUCCUAUUCCCUUGAUGGCAUCCUAUUGGCUGUUGAAAUUUUCCCUCACCCCCUUUCUUCAACUGUGGGAAAAUUCGUCACGUUGCUUGCAACACGAGGUCAUUCAGUCUUAGUCUUUCUUGAUAGAACGUUCUGUUUCGCGUGGUUAUAGCUUGUGGUGAUUGCAAUAUUAACUGAAAUUGACUAAAAGAUUUGUUUCGAAAUGGCUCAUUAUAAUCUUGUGAAUGUUGGUGAGUCGAUUAGUGACGAGCCUCUCGAUUUGAGCAUGAAAAAAAGUCGACAUGAAUUGGAAUAUGUUCGUGGUCCUCUCGUGGUCCAACCGAACACGUUGCAACCACCAAAAGUCGUGGUGGCUCGAAUAUGGCAGACUAAUGUAGUGAUACGUUCACUGAUAGAAUCCCCGCAACAAGUGCAACAACUGCAACAUCCCGAGGUACCGAAGGAGAAGCCCAUCCCAAAAGCACAACCCAGGAAAAGGUUUCGUUUCAAUCAUUACCAGAUCGGUAUCAUGGAACGUGUUUUUGAAAUUAAAAAAUUUCCAUCAUCCGCCGAGAUCAUCGAAACUGCUAAUCUGCUCGGUGCAAGUGCCACUCAAGUCAGAAAUUGGUUUGCCAGGCGUUGCUCUAAAUGGAAGAGAGAGUUCAUGCGUUCGGCCAAACUCGUAAGGAUCGCUCCGGCCCCUGCACAAGAGUCUUCAACAUCUUCAUCCUUUCAUCCAUCAUCUUCAUCAUCAACGUUCUAAAGAUGCAGAGGAAUCAACAAACAUCCAGACUCAUCAUCCACUUUGACCAGGUUGAUGUCCAUUCCAUUUUGAUAACUUCUUCUUACUACUGCGAAACCUCAGAAACGCUUACAGAAAAGAAAGAAAUUUCAGUCAUUUAGUAAAUAGUCAGGUGCUAUCAUCAAGAAUAAUGUGUCAUGGCCUCCUCCCUUCUUAUGUUUAAAUAGUGUGUCAUUACCUAGAGAAUACCCUGUGAUAAUUAGUGUUUGUUGGAUCGCAAGUUUACCUCAGGAAGUCUCUGGGGGAAAUCGUUUAAUUUGCUAAAUAUCCAUUUUAAUUUAUGACCAGUUUGUUCGAACGUGUUAACCUAGAGAAUCCCGCCCUCGUUGGAAACAAGCGAAAGUUACCUUGUUCUACAUUGAGUAAAUAAAUAAUUCAGUACCAUCA